GACGAACGCUGGCGGCGUGCUUAACACAUGCAAGUCGAACGGUGAAGCUCCAGCUUGCUGGAGUGGAUCAGUGGCGAACGGGUGAGUAACACGUGAGCAACCUGCCCCUGACUCUGGAAUAAGCGCUGGAAACGGCGUCUAAUACUGGAUACGAGAAGGGCCCGCAUGGGCACUUUCUGGAAAGUUUUUCGGUUGGGGAUGGGUUCGCGGCCUAUCAGCUUGUUGGUGAGGUAAUGGCACACCAAGGCGACGACGGGUAGCCGGCCUGAGAGGGCGACCGGCCACACUGGGACUGAGACACGGCCCAGACUCCUACGGGAGGCAGCAGUGGGGAAUAUUGCACAAUGGGCGAAAGCCUGAUGCAGCGACGCCGCGUGAGGGAUGACGGCCUUCGGGUUGUAAACCUCUUUCAGCAGGGAAGAAGCGAAAGUGACGGUACCUGCAGAAGAAGCACCGGCUAACUACGUG
RNAcentral lists this ribosomal RNA (468 nucleotides) under uncultured bacterium. RNAcentral's name for it is "partial 16S ribosomal RNA". It matches the Rfam family "Bacterial small subunit ribosomal RNA", at positions 28 to 507 of the family's 1533-position model. The record is from RNAcentral.